GGGUUUGGCUCAGUGGUAGAGCCCUUGCCUGGCCUGUACCAGGCCCUGGGUUCAAUCCCCAGAACCACA
RNAcentral lists this transfer RNA (69 nucleotides) under Marmota monax (woodchuck). RNAcentral describes it as "tRNA.Ala". It matches the Rfam family "tRNA". From Rfam's summary of the family: Transfer RNA (tRNA) molecules are approximately 80 nucleotides in length. Their secondary structure includes four short double-helical elements and three loops (D, anti-codon, and T loops). The record is from RNAcentral. Lineage: Eukaryota; Metazoa; Chordata; Mammalia; Rodentia; Sciuridae.